This 433-nucleotide ribosomal RNA is filed under the name uncultured bacterium. RNAcentral describes it as "partial 16S ribosomal RNA". It matches the Rfam family "Bacterial small subunit ribosomal RNA", at positions 29 to 507 of the family's 1533-position model. The record is from RNAcentral.
AGCGAACGCUGGCGGCAGGCUUAACACAUGCAAGUCGAGCGGGCACUUCGGUGUCAGCGGCAGACGGGUGAGUAACACGUGGGAACGUACCCUUUGGUUCGGAAUAACGCUGGGAAACUAGCGCUAAUACCGGAUACGCCCUUUUGGGGAAAGGCUUGCUGCCGAAGGAUCGGCCCGCGUCUGAUUAGCUAGUUGGUGGGGUAAUGGCCUACCAAGGCGAUGAUCAGUAGCUGGUCUGAGAGGAUGAUCAGCCACACUGGGACUGAGACACGGCCCAGACUCCUACGGGAGGCAGCAGUGGGGAAUAUUGGACAAUGGGCGCAAGCCUGAUCCAGCCAUGCCGCGUGAGUGAUGAAGGCCUUAGGGUUGUAAAGCUCUUUUGUCCGGGACGAUAAUGACGGUACCGGAAGAAUAAGCCCCGGCUAACUUCGUG